This 70-nucleotide microRNA precursor is filed under the name Chlorocebus sabaeus (green monkey). Its description in RNAcentral is "miRNA (ENSCSAG00000026700.1)". Lineage: Eukaryota; Metazoa; Chordata; Mammalia; Primates; Cercopithecidae. The record is from RNAcentral.
UCAUGUGGAUGACAGUACCGGGAGGCCUCCUGGAUCUCUAGGUCCCAGGGCCUCUCUUGUCGCCCUGCAG